AGACAAAAUGACAUGUCACCACAUUGAUAGCCAGAGUUGAUUUGGCUGAUCUGGCUGGCGAGGGGGCAGUCCCCUUCCUCCCUCAUCACUCCAUGUGUGUCCCUCCCAAAGGUGCACACUUGGUGGAGGAGGACAACCUUCCCUGAAAGAGGAGGAUUGUUCUUCACUUGAGGGUAGUUGAGUAGCUGCAUUACACUGCUAGAACCUCCAGACAAGCUUUCAAGGUCCAUUUGUAGGAAAAUGUAGGAUAGUCAAGCUUCUAAGACUCCAGACACAUCCAAAUGAGGUGCUACAUGUGGCAGUCUGCCUUUCUUU
Molecule: small nuclear RNA, 315 nt
Filed under: Vulpes vulpes (red fox)
Lineage: Eukaryota; Metazoa; Chordata; Mammalia; Carnivora; Canidae
Description: 7SK RNA (ENSVVUG00000010796.1)
Rfam family: 7SK RNA
About the family: 7SK was discovered as an abundant small nuclear RNA in the mid-70s but a possible function has only recently been suggested.
Source: Rfam by way of RNAcentral